GAUGAACGCUAGCUAUAGGCUUAACACAUGCAAGUCGAGGGGAAACGGCAUUAUGUGCUUGCACAUUUUGGACGUCGACCGGCGCACGGGUGAGUAUCGCGUAUCCAACCUGCCCUUUACUUGGGGAUACCCCGUUGAAAGACGGCCUAAUACCCGAUGUAAUUCAUUGAUGGCAUCAGAUAUGAAUAAAAGAUUUAUCGGUAAAGGAUGGGGAUGCGUCUGAUUAGCUUGUUGGUGAGGUAACGGCUCACCAAGGCGACGAUCAGUAGGGGUUCUGAGAGGAAGGUCCCCCACAUUGGAACUGAGACACGGUCCAAACUCCUACGGGAGGCAGCAGUGAGGAAUAUUGGUCAAUGGGCGCAAGCCUGAACCAGCCAAGUAGCGUGCAGGAAGACGGCCCUAUGGGUUGUAAACUGCUUUUAUACGAGAAUAAUUUGAUGCACGUGUGCGUUAUUGCAUGUAUCGUAUGAAUAAGGACCGGCUAAUUCCGUG
RNAcentral lists this ribosomal RNA (492 nucleotides) under uncultured bacterium. Its description in RNAcentral is "partial 16S ribosomal RNA". It matches the Rfam family "Bacterial small subunit ribosomal RNA", at positions 28 to 507 of the family's 1533-position model. The record is from RNAcentral.